GCAGUCGAGCGGACAGAUGGGAGCUUGCUCCCUGAUGUUAGCGGCGGACGGGUGAGUAACACGUGGGUAACCUGCCUGUAAGACUGGGAUAACUCCGGGAAACCGGGGCUAAUACCGGAUGGUUGUUUGAACCGCAUGGUUCAGACAUAAAAGGUGGCUUCGGCUACCACUUACAGAUGGACCCGCGGCGCAUUAGCUAGUUGGUGAGGUAACGGCUCACCAAGGCGACGAUGCGUAGCCGACCUGAGAGGGUGAUCGGCCACACUGGGACUGAGACACGGCCCAGACUCCUACGGGAGGCAGCAGUAGGGAAUCUUCCGCAAUGGACGAAAGUCUGACGGAGCAACGCCGCGUGAGUGAUGAAGGUUUUCGGAUCGUAAAGCUCUGUUGUUAGGGAAGAACAAGUGCCGUUCAAAUAGGGCGGCACCUUGACGGUACCUAACCAGAAAGCCACGGCUAACUACGUGCCAGCAGCCGCGGUAAUACGUAGGUGGCAAGCGUUGUCCGGAAUUAUUGGGCGUAAAGGGCUCGCAGGCGGUUUCUUAAGUCUGAUGUGAAAGCCCCCGGCUCAACCGGGGAGGGUCAUUGGAAACUGGGGAACUUGAGUGCAGAAGAGGAGAGUGGAAUUCCACGUGUAGCGGUGAAAUGCGUAGAGAUGUGGAGGAACACCAGUGGCGAAGGCGACUCUCUGGUCUGUA
RNAcentral lists this ribosomal RNA (698 nucleotides) under Bacillus sp. MO.12a. RNAcentral describes it as "bacterial SSU rRNA". It matches the Rfam family "Bacterial small subunit ribosomal RNA", at positions 57 to 738 of the family's 1533-position model. Lineage: Bacteria; Bacillati; Bacillota; Bacilli; Caryophanales; Bacillaceae. The record is from RNAcentral.